Molecule: microRNA precursor, 62 nt
Filed under: Capitella teleta
Lineage: Eukaryota; Metazoa; Annelida; Polychaeta; Capitellidae
Description: Cte-Mir-10-P7_pre stem-loop
Source: RNAcentral
GACCCUGUAGAACCGAGCUUGUGUUGACUAAUUGAAAUCACAAGCCUAUUCUACAGUGUACA